Molecule: long non-coding RNA, 413 nt
Organism: Melitaea cinxia (Glanville fritillary)
Lineage: Eukaryota; Metazoa; Arthropoda; Insecta; Lepidoptera; Nymphalidae
Exons: 3
Source: RefSeq, a predicted model, not a curated record
UCUUAAGUGGAACGUAGCCAUUGUAAUAAAGGCUGUCAAAUACACUGACAGCAUACUUAAUCAAAUCAAAAUUCGUAUCAAAAGAAUUCUAAUAAACAUAGAAUUCUGUUAUAAUAUAACUAAUUCUGAUACAGAAUAAAAAAUUAAAUAAAGUGUGAUGAAAAAGUUUUAAUUCCUGUGUGUAGUGUGGCUUUAAUUUUGAGCUAACUUUGCUAUUUGUAAAGUAUUGGUGUAUUUUUAAAUUUAUCUUUAUUCCGCGUUUUAUUUGCGAUUGUGGCGUCUAUGUGGCCUAUUUAGAGGUCAGUAACUUUUAUUAUACGACUAAUAGUAAAAGUCUGAUGGAAAUGUGAUGAGCAAUUAACAAAAAAAAAAAAAAAAAACCAAAAUGGAUGUACCAAGUGAUACGACGGAAA